Long non-coding RNA from Odontomachus brunneus, 1896 nucleotides. RefSeq lists it as uncharacterized. The transcript has 6 exons. The record is from RefSeq and is a predicted model, not a curated record. NCBI's taxonomy places the organism in Eukaryota, Metazoa, Arthropoda, Insecta, Hymenoptera, Formicidae.
UUUAAGUUGUAUUUAAGUUGUAUUUAGAUAAUAUUUCGAUACAAGUUUUGUUAUGAUUUUCUGACGAUCAUAAAACUACCUUAUCGAUAUCUAAUGGUGUUAUUCUAUCUCACCUCCAUUAAAUGUCAGUUAAUUGAUCCAUACUAUACGCUAGUAUAUUGAUUACUAUUUAGAUAACUAAAAAUUGAUAUUUAUUGGUUAUCUUUGAAUAUUUCGUAAAUUUAUACCUAAAUGAUAUUAUCUUUUUGGAUAUUAAAAGUUAUCUUCCGGGCGGACAUUAGAUAACCUUUUCAGUAAACAGAAAUCUAACUUUUAAAAAUAAAAAUAAAGUUAUCCUGAUCUAAUUUUGUAUAGUAGGAUGAAAUACUUAAAGAUGACGUUGUUCUACUUGGAUACUCUCUCCAGUAGAUCGUUGCACGGAGGCUCAGGGCUCGGACGUACGAAAUGAAUACCACACGAUUCCUAGUAUUUAUUCCUGGCUUUUAAUGUGUUACUAUUUUACAAUAGACUUCGGUAAAAGCUAUUUACAAACUGCGACUCGCAUACCGCUCACUCACGAUACCGCGAUUUAACGAUUGUCUUUACGCCGCGGUGCACCGGCUUAGGGCCUGAGCACAAAGAUUGUCGCAAACUUUUCCGACAGAGAAAACGUAAGUCGGUGUCGGAAGUCAACGCACAAGGAUUGACGUAAACGUAUGUCGUAUCCAUCGCACUGCCUCUGACUCCCCUCUUUGUAAUCACAUCGAUUACUUUUAUUGAUAUUUAGGAUUCUAUUUCAUUUAUGAAAGAUUUAUUGAAUCAAAGAGAAUUUCUUUUACGUGCUUUAAGUAAUCUUAAAACUUUGUCAGAUAAUGGAAGAUCAUGAUUACACUUCAAUUGAUUCAUAUAUAGAUGAUUCAAUUGCAUAUACUGAAGAUAUGGAGCCUUCAACUGUAAAUGUUGCUAUUGAAGAAAAAGUGGGUGACAAUUAUCUUAUCGAAUUAUACAGGGAACGAAGAUGUUUGUACGAUAAAAAUCAUCGGGAUUUUAAAAAUAAACAAAUAAAAAAAAAUGUUUGGUUCGAAAUUUCUACUGUCAUGCAACAGAAAAACCUAGGUAAGCAUUACACUCCUGAAUAUUGUCAAACAAGAUGUUCUUCUUUGCUGGACCAAUAUAGCCGCGAAAAACGCAAUAUUAAAAAUGAUUACAAAAAUGGAAGUGCUUGUUCAAAACGCAAAACAUCUGCAUUUUUUCCCAACUGUCUUUUCUUGACAAUUUUAUUAAAAGAAGAAGAACGUUUUCCAACGUUGAAAAGAAAAAGAACAUACUUCAAAUCAUCAAAGAUUCAGAAGCAGUAAACUCAAUAACUCAUGACAAGAAAAGUAAUAACGAAUCUACUGAUGAAUCAGAUUCUGAACAGAUAUCAUUAAAGUGCCUCAAAAAAGAAACAUUAGUGCAUGUCAAGAUGUAUCUCAAGAUAAGGAAAACAUUUAACAAGACUAUAACAGACGUAAAAAACGUAAAAUUGAUGAAUCCAAAAAUAUUGAUGAAACAUUCACGAACAUCAGCAAUGCAAUUUUGAAUCUUCUCGAGAGUUCAAAAGAAAAUACUACAGAUAAUGUAAAAACAAUUGAUCAGUCAUUCACUGAUUAUAUUCGCGUACAUUUAGAAAAUAUCCCUGAACCCGAAAAAUCAGCAAGAAAAAAAUUGAUAAUUGAUGCCCUUACUGCACCAAUACGCAAAACAUGUACCUUAUUGAAACAUCAUUGCACACGUGAAAUACUGAUAGCAAAGUUAUUACAUCAUUUGGCUGCCACACUUGAGUAAUUAUGUAAAAAAAAAAUGCUGUUGGGUUCAAAUAAAGUUGGACGAUAAAGUUAUAAGCAAAACCAUGUUUUUAUUAAGUUACAACAUAUU